Gossypium raimondii (Peruvian cotton) is the source of this 104-nucleotide non-coding RNA. The record is from Rfam. Lineage: Eukaryota; Viridiplantae; Streptophyta; Magnoliopsida; Malvales; Malvaceae.
AACCCAUGGUGAGGGCACUAUCUCAAUAUGUCCUUAUAUCUCUCUCAUGCAUCAUAUAAUGUUUCUAAAUGGAUUUGCACGAAGGAAGAGAUAUCAUUAAUCUU